GAUGAACGCUGGCGGCGUGCUUAACACAUGCAAGUCGAACGAUGAAGCUCAGCUUGCUGGGUGGAUUAGUGGCGAACGGGUGAGUAACACGUGAGUAACCUGCCCUUAACUCUGGGAUAAGCCUGGGAAACUAGGUCUAAUACCGGAUAGGAGCGCCUACCGCAUGGUGGGUGUUAGAAAGAUUUAUCGGUUUUGGAUGGACUCGCGGCCUAUCAGCUUGUUGGUGAGGUAAUGGCUCACCAAGGCGACGACGGGUAGCCGGCCUGAGAGGGUGACCGGCCACACUGGGACUGAGACACGGCCCAGACUCCUACGGGAGGCAGCAGUGGGGAAUAUUGCACAAUGGGCGAAAGCCGGAUGCAGCGACGCCGAGUGAGGGAUGACGGCCUUCGGGUUGUAAACCUCUUUCAGUAGGGAAGAAGCGAAAGUGACGGUACCUGCAGAAGAAGCACCGGCGAACUACGU
This 465-nucleotide ribosomal RNA is filed under the name uncultured bacterium. RNAcentral's name for it is "partial 16S ribosomal RNA". It matches the Rfam family "Bacterial small subunit ribosomal RNA", at positions 28 to 506 of the family's 1533-position model. The record is from RNAcentral.